GGUUGGUUAUAUGGAUCAUUUUUUUGUCAUCCAGCUCAGAAAUAGGGUCAUUCAUCUCAGAAAUAGGUAGCAUACUUGCAUUUAAAAAGAGCCAAGAAAUGGAUAAAAGCGUGCAUUUAAUUGUUUAGUUUAGUUUCACAUGACCAGUUUGCCAUUCCUAUUUUUAAUGUAAUUGUCUUGACUCCCUUUUGAACCCGCUGCAUGGUCAGAAGAAUUCACAACUCAACCUAGAUAGAAGAACACUGAUCGGAGUUAUAAGCUUACAAUUUGGCAAACAGCUUUUAAUGAGCUUGUAUUUAUGCAUGCAGGGUGUAAGCAAAGGGCUUGU
RNAcentral lists this unclassified non-coding RNA (328 nucleotides) under Hevea brasiliensis (rubber tree). The record is from RNAcentral. Lineage: Eukaryota; Viridiplantae; Streptophyta; Magnoliopsida; Malpighiales; Euphorbiaceae.